This is a long non-coding RNA of Erpetoichthys calabaricus (reedfish), 219 nucleotides long. RefSeq lists it as uncharacterized. NCBI's taxonomy places the organism in Eukaryota, Metazoa, Chordata, Cladistia, Polypteriformes, Polypteridae. The transcript is spliced from 3 exons. The record is from RefSeq and is a predicted model, not a curated record.
GUUAUCAUAGAAUCUGGGAAAGAGAGACACGAAUGCUGGAAAAAAGGCGUUCAAAAUCCAAAGAGGAUCUAAUAAGAGGAAAUUAUUCCUGUGUGGUUCUCUUACAAGUGAAAACAACAGUUAGUGAAGAGACAACAAAGCUGCAAAUUAAAGAACUUUUGCAAAAUGCAAGUAAUAAUAACCACAGUGAUGUGAGCAUUACCAGCAUACAGAUCACGA